Molecule: long non-coding RNA, 524 nt
Filed under: Homo sapiens (human)
Lineage: Eukaryota; Metazoa; Chordata; Mammalia; Primates; Hominidae
Description: non-protein coding lnc-ATP2B3-1:11
Source: RNAcentral
CCUCCCCGCGGAGCGAGAGCCCGCGGAGCUGCUCCGAGACCCGCGGGAGGGCACCUCCGGUCACCCGAGCCGCAAAUCCCCGCCGUCCGAAGGGGGUGUCGCCCCGGGCUGUCGGCCCAGCGUGGCUUAGGCCAGGUACAACCGGCAGCGCCCGCCAAGCCCUGGGCUAGGGACGCCUGCGGGAGUUCACGGGGAGGCGCCGGUGUCUGAGGUCUGAGAAGACAGCGGCCACCGGAAAAGGUGCUAAUGUUUGCAGACCCCGAUCCAUCGACACCCCAAGGAAAUGCUGUGCACAAAAUUCCAAGAGGGCCUUUUCGAAUAGACGCAUGAACGGUGUUUGUGUCUGGAUCGUCCAGCCUCCCGGGAUCGAUUGGGAAUCUAGCUUCUGCUUGCCUUUCCAGCGCGACGCACAGUAGGAGCCUAAUAAAUGUUUGCUGAAUGAAUGCUGAAUAUCGAACUCAGGUAUUUACCAUCUCAUUUUUCAUUCGCGUCUUCCACAAGCAGGAAAUGGUGCAUCAGGCUUU